This 497-nucleotide ribosomal RNA is filed under the name uncultured bacterium. RNAcentral's name for it is "partial 16S ribosomal RNA". It matches the Rfam family "Bacterial small subunit ribosomal RNA", at positions 28 to 507 of the family's 1533-position model. The record is from RNAcentral.
GAUGAACACUGGCGGCGUGCCUAAUACAUGCAAGUCGAGCGAACGGACGAGAAGCUUGCUUCUCUGAUGUUAGCGGCGGACGGGUGAGUAACACGUGGAUAACCUACCUAUAAGACUGGGAUAACUUCGGGAAACCGUAGCUAAUACCGGAUAAUAUUUUGAACCGCAUGGUUCAAAAGUGAAAGACAGUCUUGCUGUCACUUAUAGAUGGAUCCGCGCUGCAUUAGCUAGUUGGUAAGGUAACGGCUUACCAAGGCAACGAUGCAUAGCCGACCUGAGAGGGUGAUCGGCCACACUGGAACUGAGACACGGUCCAGACUCCUACGGGAGGCAGCAGUAGGGAAUCUUCCGCAAUGGGCGAAAGCCUGACGGAGCAACGCCGCGUGAGUGAUGAAGGUCUUCGGAUCGUAAAACUCUGUUAUUAGGGAAGAACAUAUGUGUAAGUAACUGUGCACAUCUUGACGGUACCUAAUCAGAAAGCCACGGCUAACUACGUG